CAACUCAUGAUUCCUUUGCUGUUUCUUUUUCUCUCCUCUAUCCAGUUGCAGAGUGGAGGAAGAGAGCAGCUUUAGUGGGUACCUGACAUCCAGCCAGGGUCAACCCACUACAGCAACCAUGAGGGCAAGCAGACAUUAACACCAGACCCUCUUUGGCACCUGUCCAGACUGACCAGGGUGCUCAUCAGCUGCAUCGCCGAUAUUGACAAUGACAAAUCCCUUCCACAGCUCAGGAGAACCUUAAAUAAAUUCUCCCAAGACACUAGCAGGCGUUCUUCUCCUUGCCCUGUCACUCAUGGUGAAGACUGAAAGGCUGAUUAGAAAUAAUGCAGGGGU
RNAcentral lists this long non-coding RNA (336 nucleotides) under Manacus vitellinus (golden-collared manakin). RNAcentral's name for it is "lncRNA (ENSMVIG00005017282.1)". The record is from RNAcentral. Lineage: Eukaryota; Metazoa; Chordata; Aves; Passeriformes; Pipridae.